RNAcentral lists this ribosomal RNA (253 nucleotides) under uncultured bacterium. Its description in RNAcentral is "partial 16S ribosomal RNA". It matches the Rfam family "Bacterial small subunit ribosomal RNA", at positions 524 to 776 of the family's 1533-position model. The record is from RNAcentral.
UACGUAGGGUGCUAGCGUUGUCCGGAUUUAUUGGGCGUAAAGAGCGUGUAGGCGGCCAGGUAGGUCUGCUGUGAAAACUCGAGGCUCAACCUCGAGACGUCGGCGGAAACCAUCUGGCUAGAGUCCGGAAGAGGAGAGUGGAAUUCCUGGUGUAGCGGUGAAAUGCGCAGAUAUCAGGAAGAACACCCGUGGCGAAGGCGGGUCUCUGGGCAGUAACUGACGCUGAGGAGCGAAAGCGUGGGGAGCGAACAGG